CCUACGGGAGGCAGCAGUGGGGGAUAUUGCACAAUGGGGGAAACCCUGAUGCAGCGACGCCGCGUGAGCGAUGAAGUAUUUCGGAAUGUAAAGUCCUAUCAGCAGAGAAGAUAAUGACGGUAUCUGACUAAGAAGCCCCGGCUAACUACGUGCCAGCAGCCGCGGUAAUACGUAGGGGGCAAGCGUUAGGCGGAUUUACUGGGUGUAAAGGGAGCGUAGACGGGAGUGCAAGUCUGAAGUGAAAGGCAAGGGCUGAACCAUUGGACUGCAUUUGAAACUGUGCUGCUGGAGUGUGGGAGAGGCAAGUGGAAGUCUUGGUGUAGGGGUAAAAUGCGUAGAUAUUAAGAGGAAUACUAGUGGCGAAGGCGACUUGCUGGAAGAUGACUGACGUUGAGGCUCGAAAGCGUGGGGAGCAAACAGGAUUAGAUACCCUAGUAGUC
Molecule: ribosomal RNA, 440 nt
Filed under: uncultured bacterium
Lineage: Bacteria
Description: partial 16S ribosomal RNA
Rfam family: Bacterial small subunit ribosomal RNA
Source: RNAcentral